GGCACUUGAUCCAAAGAGAGCCUCUGAAAUGGCUGCACCCGAUAUCUCAGCAGGUUACCCCAUAGAGUGUUGAGUGGGCAACUCAAUUAUUCCCUCACCUGAAGAAGUCUGAAAGCAAGACGAAGAGAGUCCUUUUGCAAGAGUGAUGUACAAAGCCCUACGGACAUACAGACUUCGUGUGCAAGUCCUGUGGAGGAGAGGAGAUGAGAGAGCAAUCGGUUGGUGGCAUCUGGGGACAUUAAACAGUGACGUGGACACAGUGAUGGCCUGCAGUGGUGAACCAGUGAGGGAACAAGUCCUAUGGUUGGGGAGCUACCUGAGGCUGGAGAGCAGAGUACAGCCAGGCCCACAGUGGUGCAGCAUACCAGAGUCAAGGUCUCACUAGGAUGUCCAGGCUGGCCUCGAACUCCUGGGCUCAAGCAAUCCACCUGCCUUGGCCUCUGAAAGUGCAGGAAUUACAGAGGAGUGUAUUUAGAGUCAACAACCACACAUGGCUAAUCUCUCAGAAUGUUUCAUCAUGAGAUGUGAGCAUCAUGUUCCAGGCCCUGAGUGCUUCAUAAAAAAAAAAGUUCCUUUUCCACCAAAACAAUGCCCUGAUUUGAGUGCUUCAUCAAAAGAGAAAGAUUUCUCAUGAUAAACCAUAUUCUAAGCACUUAGAUCACAAUAUAGUAAAUUUUCAAAAGGAAGUCACUUUUGCCAAGAUAUAAAGGCUCAUGUACGUAAA
RNAcentral lists this long non-coding RNA (724 nucleotides) under Homo sapiens (human). RNAcentral's name for it is "HSALNT0394121". Lineage: Eukaryota; Metazoa; Chordata; Mammalia; Primates; Hominidae. The record is from RNAcentral.